GAUGAACGCUGGCGGCGUGCCUAAUACAUGCAAGUCGAGCGAACAGAUGAGGAGCUUGCUCCUCUGACGUUAGCGGCGGACGGGUGAGUAACACGUGGAUAACCUACCUAUAAGACUGGGAUAACUUCGGGAAACCGGAGCUAAUACCGGAUAAUAUAUUGAACCGCAUGGUUCAAUAGUGAAAGACGGUUUUGCUGUCACUUAUAGAUGGAUCCGCGCCGCAUUAGCUAGUUGGUAAGGUAACGGCUUACCAAGGCAACGAUGCGUAGCCGACCUGAGAGGGUGAUCGGCCACACUGGAACUGAGACACGGUCCAGACUCCUACGGGAGGCAGCAGUAGGGAAUCUUCCGCAAUGGGCGAAAGCCUGACGGAGCAACGCCGCGUGAGUGAUGAAGGUCUUCGGAUCGUAAAACUCUGUUAUUAGGGAAGAACAAAUGUGUAAGUAACUAUGCACGUCUGGACGGUACCUAAUCAGAAAGCCACGGCUAACUACGG
RNAcentral lists this ribosomal RNA (496 nucleotides) under uncultured bacterium. Its description in RNAcentral is "partial 16S ribosomal RNA". It matches the Rfam family "Bacterial small subunit ribosomal RNA", at positions 28 to 506 of the family's 1533-position model. The record is from RNAcentral.